ACUUGGACCAACCUCUUCCUUUUCCUGACUGCUUAGGAAGGAUGGAAUGUAUUUCCUUCCUUCUGGGAGUGUUUGAAUGAAGAUUAGACUCUCCUUGACCAUGAAUGAAGAGCAACCAGUUUUUUAGUAUACAGUGAUUUAGACUCUGGGUCUAGAGUGUAGAUAUCAUGGGCACUGUGAAAGCACAGAAGGAGAAAAGGUUUUUAUGUGAGUAUAUGGGAGAGGAAAUAGUUUAUUGUCAUAAGCUUUUUGGCUAUGGCCUCCAUUACAUCUCUAGCUUUUGGAAGGCACUAAAUUGAGGCCAUUCAAAUCCAUGUCCACCUAUCCUUUGCCCGUCACGAGACUGAUGGCUUAGGAAGCAUGUGGUCUAGGUACUAGAGAGGGAGCCUGACCCACCUACCUCACCGCUGCUGCUGAAUUUGUGCACAACUCUCUGACCUGGUUCCAUGUCACAAAGGGUUUCAUUCUCUCUGAUUCCCUGAAUCCCCAGCUCUAGCCGCAGAUCCUGGAACCCUAGCAUAUGCCUGAAGCUGAAUAUUUUACUUGCCAGAGUAAGAGUUUUUACAUAGACUCUGUCAUCUUCUACUGGCCCUCCUCUUAAACUGAGGCAGCGGCUGCUAGCUACUCACCAAACCUAUUUUACUUUCUUUUUCUUUUUUUUUUUUUUUUUUUGAGACAGAGUCUUGCUCUGUCGCCCAGACUGGAGUGCAGUGGUAUGAUCUCGGCUCACUGCAACCUCCGCCUCUCAGGUUCAAGCGAUUCUCCCACCGUAGCCUCCUGAGUCGAUGGGAUUACAGGUGUGUGCCACCACACCCAGCUAAUUUUUGUAUUUUUUGGUAGAGAUGGAGGUUUCACUAUGUUGGCCAGGCUAGUCUCUAACUCCUGACCUCAAAUGAUCCACCCACCUCAGCCUCCCAAAGUGCUGGGAUUACAGGCAUAAGCCACCGUGCCUGGCCCCCCAUUUUACUUUCUUCUUUAACAUAUAGUUAGAAUGAAAACAUGUUGAAGGGAUGAUGGCAUUAGAAAAUUACCACUGGCCACUAUCACAGUAAUAAUUGCUUUAGGCAAGAAUGAUCGAUAAAAGCUAAAAUUAAUGGGCAAAAGUAUGAUGAGAAACAGGAUAUUUAUACAAUCGCAAAGUGCCUCCCAAUAAGAUACUUAUUAAAAAGGUAAAAAUGGUAAUUUUCAGUGGAGAAAUAUGGCAGACACCAUAGUAACCAACUGAUCAAAGGGAACAUUGGCAUUAAUGGGACAAAUCAGCAUCACGUUUCUCUUGUCAUGAAGCACUGAGAAGGCCACAGCAUUGCUUCUGAAAUAUUGCAACAAAAAUGAAUAACUUGAAUCUAAUGAUGAGGAAACAUUGGAGAAAUCCAAACCUUGGAACACGCUACAAAACAACUAACUCGUACUCUGAGAAACAUAUCAGUGGACUGGAUUCCAAACAGUGGCUCAUGCCUGUAAUUUUAACACUUUGGGAGGCCAAGUUUGGUGGGGCUUUGUGUCUGAAUUCUGGCCAAUGGAACCACGUGGAGGCCUGGCCCAGAACAUCUCCCUGUGGAUUCUCUCAUCUGGCAACUGGAUGCCUACACGAAGGGUGAUUUUGGAGUCAUGUGUUGGAGAUCACAAAGCUUUUGUCAGCCAGGUUCCUGAAUGACUGCUAGACACCAUGGGCUGAACUUUAUGAGCUCCAGCACCACCUCCAGCCUUCAGUGACUGUCUGGAGCAGGCAUCCGGAUGGAAGAGAAGGGGGACAACCAUGAACUUGGUGACCCACGGUCAGCCUGAUUUCCCUUGUGGACACAUUUAUGCCCAGUGUGCAUUCCUCCUGAGGUCUGUUCCAAGUCUGGAGGCAGCAGAGUAGAGUGGAGAGAACAGUGGACUUGGAAUCUCACCUCCCAGAUUAGAGUCCUGGAUCUGACUUUGAUUGCUGGUGCUGCCUCGGGCAAGUUACUUUAGCUGUGUGCAUCUCCAUUUCCCCAUGGAUAGAACAUGGGUUUUGGGUAGAAGUGUCUGAUAGCUGUACUGUGCUUUACGGUUCAUGAGCACGCACACAUAGGCCCAUAAUAUCAUAUCUCUGGUCACCCUGGCAGGUAGAUAUUAUUGCCCCAGGUUUCAGGUAAGAAGACUAAAGACCAGGGGUCAAUUGCUUGCUCAGAGUCCCACAGCCAGCAGCAGCCAGGCAGGACACCAAGUCAGAGUCUAGAUUCCGGAUCUUGCCCUCUUCCAAGUGUACCACAUUCUUCUCAAAGUGGCCUCUCAGGUCUUUUGUCCAGAAAAUUUUGAGACUUUGAUGAGAAGCCCAUAUCUGCACACUGGGGAUUAGGCCAGAUAACCCUGUGUGUCCUUCCAGGCCUGGUAUUGUGAGGCUGAAGCCUAGUGCCCCACACUCCCUUCCUCACCCCUUAGAGAAAGAUAGAGACUCCAGGGCCAGCCUGGUGGGUGCUGAACCUGCCCUGCUGAGCCAAGCCCAGGAGGCAGCCAAGGUCCUACCAGUGACCUUACCCUGGGGGCCCCUCCAGGUAGGAGCCUGGUUGGAAAAGACAGACCGACUUCUUCUGGGUUGGCUGGAAAAAGAUGACAUACUCAAAGCCUUGUCCUUCCACUUGGAUGCACCUGGUGAAGAUGCGACAGUCACCUUUGUCUGGGGAGAGAUAGGCAGUGUUGCAGCCGGAGAAGGGAGGGUAUGGUCAGGAUGCAGCACCAUUUGGUUGAGUCUUGCCUCUGGUACAAGAUUAAGGAGAGAAAACCAGAGGACACCAGGUCCACCCCCAGGGAGCCUUCCCUCUGGGAGCAGAGGCACAGUUGCUGUCCUCACAGAGCCUUUCUGUCUAGGGCAGAAACAUGCAGGAAGUGCCCUGGCUGAGAAUGGAGAUAGGAUCAGGGCCAGGGCAAGACUUUAAGAGACCAUAAGCAUUGAAAAUUGAAAAUGUAAUUACUCAUGUAACUCACAUAUAAUUCAAAAGAAUAAUAGUAAACAGUAAAAUAAGAGCAGAAAAGUCCAUCAAAGUUCUGAUUUUUUUUUUCCAAGACAGCUACCACUACUACAUCCUUUUUUGGAAGUAUCAAAUUCUUUGAAAAAAAAUUAUGUUGGUAUUCCUGCUUUGUUUGUGCCAUAAACCCAAGGGUAGUCUGUCCCCUGUACCACUCCUUCAUCACUAGGCAGGAAGACAACAUAUAUGAGUGAGAGAGACAGGGAGAUACACAUGCGUGCACACACGAGUGCACACACACACACAAGAAGGUGGAAGCUCUAUCAUUAGGAUCCAUUAGGAUCAUUAGGUGUUUCAGGAGUGCUGCUCCAGACCCCGCACAGCAGGGAUGAUGUGCAGGGCCUCAGUGGAAGGGGUGUGGGGUCCAAGGGCUUUCAUGGGGUUGGGGCGGAAGGCUUGGGAUGAGGCUUGAUAGUUAGGGAGGGGCAGUCAGUGAGAAGUCGGGGCAGGAGCUGGGCUGGCUGUCCUCCAGUGGGGACAUGCUUGGCUGGGAGCGAAGGUGGGCCCACCAGGGUGUGCUGCUUCAGAUGGGAGGAGGGGAGCUGGAGACCUGAGAGGACACCCGCCGCCUGUUGCCUGGGGCUGCAGCAUCAGGGGUGGAGUUGGACAGCAGGAAGAACUCGCUGAGAACUGGAAGGCGGUCUGUGAAGUUGCUUCUCAGUCUUAGAACACAGGGAAGGGCGGCUGGGGUGUGUGUACUCAUGGUCCUGUCCUUACCUGAGGAAACUGCCAGUCCAGAUGGGAGCUUGAGUCCCCGGAUGUGGUCUCUGUUGGACUUGAAGGAGGGCAGCUUGAUCCAGCCGCUAGACUUAGUCUUCUCCAGAAAUUCUUGGUACAGGCUCAGCAUGUCCGAACACCAGCUGGCAUUGGGAAGAGCAUAAUCCUUCAAGUCUGUCUUCUCUGGCAAGAAUCUUGAGAACUGGGCAGGAAAAAUCAGAAUGACUAGACAGCAUCCUGGAGGGGGGCUGCUGCCUGGGCUCGGGACCUCUAAACAGCUGUUCCUGGGUGCUGGGGCUUCUCAAUCCCUUCUGCCAGAGUAUCGAUCCAAGGGAAAGGGCCCAUAUUCCUUGCAGGGGGGCUGCGGACCCCUAUGGGUGACGGGGCAUAAGGAUGCUAAAGAGCAAGGGAAGGGCGGGCAGGGAGUGGGGCCAGAGAUGAUGGGCAUGCUGCUCGAUGUGGUGCCUUACCCUUGUUCUGCUUAAAACAUGUGAGCAGUUCUUUAAAGUUGACAACUGCUCAUAUUAGCCUCACUGUACAGAUGGGGAAACUGAGGGAAUACGGCCAAGGUUGCCAAGCAUGUGACUGUGAGAGCUGGUGGUCGCACUAGAUGCUGUCUCCUCUGCAGGGCAGGGUCACAGUUGUUGAGGACCAUUCUAGCAACCCCCACCUCAGGGGCUACUCCAGCUCUGCCCACUGCUGUGGGCCUGCCUGGGCAGGGUGGCUCCUUUGAAACACAUUUGGGCCCCCACAGAGGUGUGGUGCCAUGGCUGGGGCACAGACUAUGUGCCCAUCUGUGUGACGUAAGGAAGUCCUCUGUAGCGUCACCUGCUCAUACACCAGUCACAACUGUAGACAGCAUGUGAGCUGCUUGCCAAUGCCACAGAUGGGGUCCUCUGUCUGGGGAUACCCCAGCUUUGCUGCAGUAGUCUGAGUCCCACAGGAGGAAAGUCAUUUGUUGGUGGCCACACAAGACACAGAGCCAGAUGCAGGUCUCCUGGUAGUUUUAGUUUUGAAUGGGGGCAACUUGGUAUCCCAGAGCACUUUCUCUUUGCCAAAUCAAAUAGCUCCUCCGAACACUGCCCACCUGCCCUGGCCAUGGGCUGGGAAGAGGAGAUUUGGGGUGCUCCUUAAGCCCUAGGCUCCUGGGAAAACACUGCCCAUCUGGCUGAGCUGGGAACUCACCAUGGAGUCUGUGGAGGAUCCAAAUGCUGAGGCAGGGUUGAGUCUGGGCAGGAUACGGGGGGCCUCAAGAAGGCCUCUGUGGUGGCCAAGUCUUGCUGCCACCUGGAAGCAUCUCCUUAUCAUGGCCAAGUGCAAGGAUCCAGCCCUGCUUGGAUGGAGGGUCUUGGCUGACUCCCAAGGAGUGCUUUCAGCUGCACUUGGGGCCGCUUCUCUCCCUUCUGUUGCAGGCUUUCUUUCAGAGAGCUAGGCGAGGCUGGGCUGGUGUGCUGCAACACCCACAGAUGCUCGGCGCCUUUAGCUGGUCUAGGAGCCCCACCCAGUGCUUGGGGAGGGACAGAUGCUGCUUGGGCAUGAAAAGGCAGCAGGACUGGCUUGAGUUGCAAAAGGAGUAAACAAGUACAUAAACAAAUAGUAUGGGGUAUAUAGAGCCUUGGAGAGCUGCCUGGGGGUUCUGAGGGAGAAUCCAAGAAUAUUUCCAGAAGGAUAAGGGAAGCCUGUCCCUUGAUUGGAGGGUGCUGGUGGAGUGUUCUUGGUAUGUGCUCUGCAGUGUAUACCGGACUCUGAAAACUCUGGUAUGAUUUUGUGACUCAGAAAACCAACUCACAGCCUUAGACACCUCUUUUUUUUUUUUUUUUUUUUUUUUGGUGAGACGGAGUUUCAAUCUUGUCGCCCAGGCUGGUGUGCAAUGGCGUGAUCUCGGCUCACUGCAACCUCCGCCUCCUGGGUUCAAGUGAUUCUCCUGCCUCAGCCUCCUGAGUAGCUGGGAUUACAGACACACACCACCACACCCAGCUAAAUUUUGUAUAUUUUUUUUAGUAGAGAUGGGGUUUUGCCAUGUUAGCCAGGCUGGUCUUGAACUCCUGACCUCAGGUGACCUCCCAAAGUGCUGGGAUUACAGGCGUGAGCCACCGCACCCGGCCAACACCUCUUCUUAUAUCCCGGACAAGGGUUAGCACAGGAGAGUUUCACCUGCUGGUCUCUGGCUGGGGAUAGGAGUUGGAGGUGGGGGAGGGCUUGACAGGGAGGGCAGAAAAUAAUUUGGGAGGAAACAGCUUGGCAGGGAUACUCUCAUUUUUAAAUUGACUAAAAUAAAAGCAUGUUCUAAAGAUCAGUCCUCGCGCAGUGGCUCAAGGCUGUAAUCUCAGCAUUUUGGGAGGCCGAGUGAGACCUUGUCUUAAAAAAAAAAAAAUCAGAACUGUGCAAAGGUGGAAUCAUAACAGUGAUGAUGACGAUAAUAAUAGUUGUGAUGAUUAUGACAUUUUGGCAGGUUCCAAAAGAUGAAACUGAUUUAAUGCGGAAAUUUAAAAGAUUUGGUUCACCCUCUGUAUUUGGUUGCCCUAGAAGAAGACUAGAAUAUAAAUAUUUCCCCUCACCUCCUGCAAAGGUUUGAAUUAAACUUCCUCAAGGACUGGGGGAACCAUUUUUUUUUGUUGUUGUUAUUUUGUCAGAGUCUCACUCUUAUUGCCCAGGAGUGCAGUGGCACCAUCUCGGCUCACUGCAACCUCUGCCUCCCAGGCUCAAGCAAUUCUCCUGCCUCAGCCUCCCAAGUAGCUGGGAUUACAGGCGCUUGCUACUACGCCCGGCUAGUUUUUAUAUUUUUAGUAGAGACGGGGUUUCAUCAUGUUGGCCAGGCUGGUCUCAAACUCCUGGCCUUGGCUGAUCUGCCUGCCUCAGCGUCCCAAAGUGCUGGGAUUACAGGCAUGAGGCACCACGCCCAGCUGGAAGUUUUUUUGGUUGAUUCAGCCUCUGGGUCUAAGCAAAGAUAUUUGAGUUGGUUGCCAUCCCCAGAUAAGUGAGAAUAUCUGGCAGCACUCAUUUUCAGCCCUGGGCCGCAGCCGUUGCUGUGAGGCAGAAAUUAAAAAAAGAUAGUAAGUACUACAUUCAUUCACUCCAAGAAAAGUAACAGACAAGGCUAUAAGAAGGUCAUAGUGACCUAGUCUGAGAAGUAAAAGCCAAGGCCCAGAAUGUGGCAAGGCAAAGGUUAAAAAGAAAGGAAGAGCAAGUUUUUCUCUGCCUAGCAAGCUCACUUCAAAGACAAUUAUAAGAUAAUGCUCUUCGAGAAGUCGAAACCAAAGGAAUAGGCUCCAGACAUCCCCCGUCUGGAGCAAGGGUGAAGGAAAAAAAAAAAAGGACAAAUGUCUGUCUGUAUUUAGCCAGUUCUUGUUUUUUCUUUCCACGCAGCUACAAGGCCACCAGCUAUGCAAAGCCACAAGUUAUGCCAAGUCAUCAGUUAUGCUAUAGAUUAUGUGACCUGUCAUUAUAUGAUUAACUGCCUGUUUUGCUUCUGUAAGCCUGCUUAUAAAAAUCCUGCUCAGUCUUUGUUCAAUGCUCAGCUUUUUGGAUGUGAAUCCACUGAGCCAAUGCCUACCUUAAAAUAAACAUCGUCCUGUUUUUCCAUA
RNAcentral lists this long non-coding RNA (7291 nucleotides) under Homo sapiens (human). RNAcentral describes it as "HSALNT0295755". Lineage: Eukaryota; Metazoa; Chordata; Mammalia; Primates; Hominidae. The record is from RNAcentral.